RNAcentral lists this ribosomal RNA (1531 nucleotides) under Salmonella enterica subsp. enterica serovar Havana. RNAcentral describes it as "bacterial SSU rRNA". It matches the Rfam family "Bacterial small subunit ribosomal RNA". Lineage: Bacteria; Pseudomonadati; Pseudomonadota; Gammaproteobacteria; Enterobacterales; Enterobacteriaceae. The record is from RNAcentral.
AGAGUUUGAUCAUGGCUCAGAUUGAACGCUGGCGGCAGGCCUAACACAUGCAAGUCGAACGGUAACAGGAAGCAGCUUGCUGCUUUGCUGACGAGUGGCGGACGGGUGAGUAAUGUCUGGGAAACUGCCUGAUGGAGGGGGAUAACUACUGGAAACGGUGGCUAAUACCGCAUAACGUCGCAAGACCAAAGAGGGGGACCUUCGGGCCUCUUGCCAUCAGAUGUGCCCAGAUGGGAUUAGCUUGUUGGUGAGGUAACGGCUCACCAAGGCGACGAUCCCUAGCUGGUCUGAGAGGAUGACCAGCCACACUGGAACUGAGACACGGUCCAGACUCCUACGGGAGGCAGCAGUGGGGAAUAUUGCACAAUGGGCGCAAGCCUGAUGCAGCCAUGCCGCGUGUAUGAAGAAGGCCUUCGGGUUGUAAAGUACUUUCAGCGGGGAGGAAGGUGUUGUGGUUAAUAACCACAGCAAUUGACGUUACCCGCAGAAGAAGCACCGGCUAACUCCGUGCCAGCAGCCGCGGUAAUACGGAGGGUGCAAGCGUUAAUCGGAAUUACUGGGCGUAAAGCGCACGCAGGCGGUCUGUCAAGUCGGAUGUGAAAUCCCCGGGCUCAACCUGGGAACUGCAUUCGAAACUGGCAGGCUUGAGUCUUGUAGAGGGGGGUAGAAUUCCAGGUGUAGCGGUGAAAUGCGUAGAGAUCUGGAGGAAUACCGGUGGCGAAGGCGGCCCCCCUGGACAAAGACUGACGCUCAGGUGCGAAAGCGUGGGGAGCAAACAGGAUUAGAUACCCUGGUAGUCCACGCCGUAAACGAUGUCUACUUGGAGGUUGUGCCCUUGAGGCGUGGCUUCCGGAGCUAACGCGUUAAGUAGACCGCCUGGGGAGUACGGCCGCAAGGUUAAAACUCAAAUGAAUUGACGGGGGCCCGCACAAGCGGUGGAGCAUGUGGUUUAAUUCGAUGCAACGCGAAGAACCUUACCUGGUCUUGACAUCCACAGAACUUUCCAGAGAUGGACUGGUGCCUUCGGGAACUGUGAGACAGGUGCUGCAUGGCUGUCGUCAGCUCGUGUUGUGAAAUGUUGGGUUAAGUCCCGCAACGAGCGCAACCCUUAUCCUUUGUUGCCAGCGGUCCGGCCGGGAACUCAAAGGAGACUGCCAGUGAUAAACUGGAGGAAGGUGGGGAUGACGUCAAGUCAUCAUGGCCCUUACGACCAGGGCUACACACGUGCUACAAUGGCGCAUACAAAGAGAAGCGACCUCGCGAGAGCAAGCGGACCUCAUAAAGUGCGUCGUAGUCCGGAUUGGAGUCUGCAACUCGACUCCAUGAAGUCGGAAUCGCUAGUAAUCGUGGAUCAGAAUGCCACGGUGAAUACGUUCCCGGGCCUUGUACACACCGCCCGUCACACCAUGGGAGUGGGUUGCAAAAGAAGUAGGUAGCUUAACCUUCGGGAGGGCGCUUACCACUUUGUGAUUCAUGACUGGGGUGAAGUCGUAACAAGGUAACCGUAGGGGAACCUGCGGUUGGAUCACCU